This 216-nucleotide ribosomal RNA is filed under the name Nocardia brevicatena. Its description in RNAcentral is "partial 16S ribosomal RNA". It matches the Rfam family "Bacterial small subunit ribosomal RNA", at positions 1322 to 1533 of the family's 1533-position model. Lineage: Bacteria; Bacillati; Actinomycetota; Actinomycetes; Mycobacteriales; Nocardiaceae. The record is from RNAcentral. RNAcentral also lists the same sequence under 8 other names.
GAAGUUGGAGUCGCUAGUAAUCGCAGAUCAGCAACGCUGCGGUGAAUACGUUCCCGGGCCUUGUACACACCGCCCGUCACGUCAUGAAAGUCGGUAACACCCGAAGCCGGUGGCCUAACCCCUUGUGGGAGGGAGCCGUCGAAGGUGGGAUCGGCGAUUGGGACGAAGUCGUAACAAGGUAGCCGUACCGGAAGGUGCGGCUGGAUCACCUCCUUU